AUAAUGAACUCUUUGUCCUAAGGAAACUAGCCAAGAAGUGGAAGGAGACGAUGAGCAGCACCUAGCCCAAGAUGACCGUCAUGGUGAACUCAAUGGACAAGAGCUAUGUGGAGCAAGGUGCAAACUACGACUAGGUGUUCUCGUUCACGGACACGCACAAUCUGAACGGGAAAUACAAAACCCACCGAUGGCCACUGAGACCAGCAGCUUGGUGCAUUCCCACACUGAGAAGAAGCACGAGCCGGCUGACAUGCCCUACCAGACCGGGAAGCUUCACCCCACCAUCCAGGUGGCAGAUCUGCUUUAACACAUCACACAGAUAAAGUGUGCUGAGGGCUCUGGCUUAAAGAAGGAAUACGAAGUGAGCAUGAGCUUUGCACCAGGGCUCCUUCUCAACCUUCCUGGGCAUGAUGCCAGGUACUGUGCUCCCAACUCAUUCAGCCAGCCAGUGGGACCCCAUGAGGGCUGCCAAGAAGGGGCCAUGUAUUUCAUCCAUGGAUCCAUUUCCAUCUGGCUGUGAGACUUAUGACCCAGAAGCUAACAUAUGUUAAAUGGAAAAAGGAGGACCACUUCACCUUUUCCAUAUUCUGUAUGAAUUUGCAAUGAAAACAGAGGCCUACUAGGAUUACCUUUCUUGGCUUUUCCUAUAAUUAUGAUUUUAAAUCCUAAUAAUUUUGUGGUAAUUACCUCAGGAAGAAACUGUCCACUUACAACAAUUUUAGUCCAA
Molecule: non-coding RNA, 727 nt
Organism: Ceratotherium simum simum (southern white rhinoceros)
Lineage: Eukaryota; Metazoa; Chordata; Mammalia; Perissodactyla; Rhinocerotidae
Source: RefSeq, a predicted model, not a curated record